UGGGGAAUAUUGCACAAUGGGGGAAACCCUGAUGCAGCGACGCCGCGUGAGCGAAGAAGGUUUUCGAAUCGUAAAGCUCUGUCCUAUGAGAAGAUAAUGACGGUAUCAUAGGAGGAAGCCCCGUCUAAAUACGUGCCAGCAGCCGCGGUAAUACGUAUGGGGCGAGCGUUGUCCGGAAUUAUUGGGCGUAAAGGGUACGUAGGCGGUCUAUUAAGUCAGGUGUGAAAGCGUGAGGCUUAACCUCAUUAAGCACUUGAAACUGAUAGACUUGAGUGAAGGAGAGGAAAGUGGAAUUCCUAGUGUAGCGGUGAAAUGCGUAGAUAUUAGGAGGAAUACCGGUGGCGAAGGCGACUUUCUGGACUUUUACUGACGCUCAGGUACGAAAGCGUGGGGAGCAAACAGG
This 403-nucleotide ribosomal RNA is filed under the name Verrucomicrobiota bacterium. RNAcentral describes it as "Verrucomicrobia bacterium partial 16S ribosomal RNA". It matches the Rfam family "Bacterial small subunit ribosomal RNA", at positions 355 to 776 of the family's 1533-position model. The record is from RNAcentral. Lineage: Bacteria; Pseudomonadati; Verrucomicrobiota.